AUGCUAGGGGCCGUUUCCUUGCGUCUGCGGUUCUUUACUAAGCGCUGGGUUCGUGGACUUGCCUCAGCAGCGGACAGUAACGUUCUCACCUCAGACCGAGCCCGCACGCGCCCUUCCUCCCGUGGGCCGCCCCAACAACCCAGAACUCGCCUCCGCCUCCCACCCCCUCCACCAGAGUCUUCUGGAGUCACGAGUUGGGUGCUGUCCCUUGCUUGCUUGCUUUCCAGAGUCUCUCCUACCGCGCUCAGGGCCCUACGCGCCGAGCCUCCUUGCCCUUUCCCUCCCAGGCUCUGUAUCUGCCUCACCGCCCACUUCGCCGAGGCCCCACUGCGAGUUGCUACCCAGCACCUCGGACAGCUCCAGGGAAGCGCGCCAGUCCGGGCGCAGGUCCACUGCCCCGAGUCUCGCAGGCUCAGCCUAGCGGCUCCCGGGGUUUCCUCUCCGGACACCUCUGUCCCGGGCCGGGUCCCCCGCGGGCCCCGCGAGCUUCUGAGAGCUCCGGGAAGUGCUGGCGGCGCGGGGCGGGGCUCGUUGUGGGCGCGGCGCGCGCUUCCGGCUCCCGCGGGCGCUGCGGGUCCCUCGGCCCUGCGGCCCAGCUGGCGGUGGACGCGGUGUCACGGCCGGCCCCCGCGGGCCUUUCUCCCACAGUCCGCACGACCCCCAACUGCAGAGCUGCGUCCGUGCGCCAAGAGGGCGCCCCCGGCCCGGUGGGCCCAGGGACCCGACGGCCGCAGGCCAGGUUCCCAAAUCAUGCUUCUCCCUCUUCCUCAUUUUCGGGAGUCCGCUGGAAGAGUUGACAAUCCCGGGAGAGGCCGGGUUUCGCUUUGGAAGAAGCUCGUCUGGGAGUGUGCGGGCGGAGCUUGUGAAGCCCGGGCCGCUGUGCCCCUGCGGGGAGGCCCCAGGCACGGCCCCAUCCGCGCCGCUGGGGUGUGUUUCCCUGAAACCUCUCCACGGAUCAGCACGACGUCACCCGCUGUGACCUCACCUCCCACUCCGUCUGCCAAGGGCACCAGGCCAGGCUCUCCUCUUCUGGAGGGGGGACCCAGUGACACGGUACUCCCCUUUCGAGCGCCGGGCUGUGUCCCUUUGGCCAGAGUCCUGACCUCGGCAUCUGUCAUUCAGUGUGCGGCCCAAUCUCCUCCCCGCUGCCCUGCCGCCUCGUCCCAAGGAUCAACCAGAUUCCGGGUCUCAGGGGAAACUGAAGGCUAG
Molecule: long non-coding RNA, 1209 nt
Filed under: Cervus hanglu yarkandensis (Yarkand deer)
Lineage: Eukaryota; Metazoa; Chordata; Mammalia; Artiodactyla; Cervidae
Description: lncRNA (ENSCHYG00000018103.1)
Source: RNAcentral